UGAGGAAUAUUGGUCAAUGGCCGGGAGGCUGAACCAGCCAAGUCGCGUGAGGGAUGACGGUCCUAUGGAUUGUAAACCUCUUUUGUCGGGGAGCAAAAGGCAUCACGUGUGAUGCUCCGAGAGUACCCGAAGAAAAAGCAUCGGCUAACUCCGUGCC
Molecule: ribosomal RNA, 157 nt
Filed under: uncultured bacterium
Lineage: Bacteria
Description: partial 16S ribosomal RNA
Rfam family: Bacterial small subunit ribosomal RNA
Source: RNAcentral